AACGAACGCUGGCGGCAGGCUUAACACAUGCAAGUUGAACGGGAUUUGGUUGGUGCUUGCACCAACUGAUGAGAGUAGCGCACGGGUGAGUAACACGUGGGAACAUACCAUGAAGUGGGGGACAACAGUUGGAAACGACUGCUAAUACCGCAUAAUCCCUGAGGGGGAAAGAUUUAUCGCUUUAUGAAUGGCCCGCGGAAGAUUAGGUAGUUGGUAGGGUAAAGGCCUACCAAGCCGACGAUCUAUAGCUGGUUUGAGAGGAUGAUCAGCCACACUGGAACUGAGACACGGUCCAGACUCCUACGGGAGGCAGCAGUGAGGAAUAUUGGGCAAUGGGGGCAACCCUGACCCAGCCAUGUCGCGUGAGUGAAGAAGGUUUUCGGAUUGUAAAGCUCUUUCGGAUGUGAAGAUAAUGACGGUAGCAUCUAAAGAAGCCCCGGCAAACUUCGUG
RNAcentral lists this ribosomal RNA (451 nucleotides) under uncultured organism. RNAcentral's name for it is "bacterial SSU rRNA". It matches the Rfam family "Bacterial small subunit ribosomal RNA", at positions 29 to 507 of the family's 1533-position model. The record is from RNAcentral.